CUUGGUCAUUUAGAGGAAGUAAAAGUCGUAACAAGGUUUCCUUCCCCCUAUUGAAGCCUUCCGCAGCGACUUGAUAAAUAACUGCGUAGCCUGCUUUGCAGACCACACCACGAAAGUGCUAGGACUUGAUUAACUUCGAGUACCAGCAGCCUAGAGUUCUAGGUCCACAGAUCAUGUAGUGGUGGUCAUUUAUGAUUGAGAUAUGACCGGUCUUAACUAACUCUAGUUAAGAAUCAACGUUCCGUAGGUGAACCUGCGGAAGGAUCAUUAUUGAAAAAGGGAACCCUUCGGGGUUCAACCUUAAACCCUUUGUCUUAAUUACCUGUUUCUUUGGCGGGCUCGCCCGUCAGAAGUUUUCUCAAACCCAUUAUAAAUGUGUCAUCUGAAUAACAAAAUAAAUCAAAACUUUCAACAACGGAUCUCUUGGUUCUGGCAUCGAUGAAGAACGCAGCGAAAUGCGAUAAGUAAUGUGAAUUGCAGAAUUCAGUGAAUCAUCGAAUCUUUGAACGCAUAUUGCGCCCUUUGGCAUUCCGAAGGGCAUACCUGUUCGAGCGUCAUUACACCCCUCAAGUCAAACUUUUUGGUUAACUUGGUGUUGGGCCUUGCCGGAAGGCAUGCCUAAAAAUUAGCGAUGGUACGUUAAACCACGGACGCACAAAUGUCGUUACGUAGGGGCACGGCACCAGUCUAAUGAUUAAUUUCUCAAUGUUGACCUCGGAUCAGGUAGGAAUACCCGCUGAACUUAAGCAUAUCAAUAAGCGGAGGA
This 766-nucleotide ribosomal RNA is filed under the name uncultured saccharomyceta. RNAcentral's name for it is "eukaryotic LSU rRNA". The stretch from base 404 to 557 matches the Rfam family "5.8S ribosomal RNA". Lineage: Eukaryota; Fungi; Ascomycota. The record is from RNAcentral.